This 360-nucleotide unclassified non-coding RNA is filed under the name uncultured fungus. RNAcentral's name for it is "sequence contains ITS1". The stretch from base 1 to 107 matches the Rfam family "5.8S ribosomal RNA", at positions 50 to 154 of the family's 154-position model. The record is from RNAcentral. Lineage: Eukaryota; Fungi.
GAAAUGCGAUACUUGGUGUGAAUUGCAGAAUCCCGUGAACCAUCGAGUCUUUGAACGCAAGUUGCGCCCGAAGCCAUCAGGUUGAGGGCACGUCUGCCUGGGCGUCACAUAUCGUUGCCCGAUGCCUAUUGCAGUGCAAUAGGAAUUUCUAGGGCGAAUGAUGGCUUCCCGUGAGCGUUGUUGCCUCGCGGCUGGUUGAAAAUCGAGUCCUUGGUAGGGUGUGCCAUGAUAGAUGGUGGUCGAGUUCGCACGAUACCGAUCAUGUGCAUGCUCCCCAAAAUAUGGCCUCUAUGACCCACACGUGUCUUUUGACGCUCAUGACGAGACCUCAGGUCAGGCGGGGCUACCCGCUGAAUUUAA